UCUUCAAGAUUUGGUGAAGCGUCGGGCGGCACCAGCAUCGGAUAAUUGGAGUCUUCAUGAGGUGGAUGUACGAGAUUACGCGAAUACAUAUUAAAUUGCCUUGGAAAAGUUAAAAAUAUUGCAACAAAAGGAAUAUGCGUUUUCUACGGACAAUGAAGAAACCAUAAACAGAAGGCAAGAUGUUCUGAAAAAACAAUACCGCUUGAAUAAAGGGCGUUUUGUAAAUCAGAAUAACGUCGAUCAGCAGUUGUCGGAAUGUAACAUAAAUUUAGGCAAUAAGUCGCGCAAUGCUUCAAUGUUUAAUGUCUUAAAGACAGUGAACUUGUGAAGUGUUUAUAUGGUAUAAUGACAACUGAAUCAAUUAAAAAUCCGCAGUUGAGCCCUAUUAAAGAGCAAGCAUUUAACCAAGCCCUCGGGAAGGUUAUAAAUUAUUCCCGUGAUUGGGAGAAUGGGAGAGAUCAUAGGCGGAC
Molecule: long non-coding RNA, 470 nt
Organism: Ctenocephalides felis (cat flea)
Lineage: Eukaryota; Metazoa; Arthropoda; Insecta; Siphonaptera; Pulicidae
Exons: 4
Source: RefSeq, a predicted model, not a curated record